GGUUAAGCGACUAAGCGUACACGGUGGAUGCCCUGGCAGUCAGAGGCGAUGAAGGACGUGCUAAUCUGCGAUAAGCGCCGGUAAGGUGAUAUGAACCGUUAUAACCGGCGAUUUCCGAAUGGGGAAACCCAGUGUGAUUCGUCACACUAUCAUUAACUGAAUCCAUAGGUUAAUGAGGCGAACCGGGGGAACUGAAACAUCUAAGUACCCCGAGGAAAAGAAAUCAACCGAGAUUCCCCCAGUAGCGGCGAGCGAACGGGGAGGAGCCCAGAGCCUGAAUCAGCAUGUGUGUUAGUGGAAGCGUCUGGAAAGGCGCGCGAUACAGGGUGACAGCCCCGUACACAAAAGCGCAUGUGCUGUGAGCUCGAUGAGUAGGGCGGGACACGUGGUAUCCUGUCUGAAUAUGGGGGGACCAUCCUCCAAGGCUAAAUACUCCUGACUGACCGAUAGUGAACCAGUACCGUGAGGGAAAGGCGAAAAGAACCCCGGCGAGGGGAGUGAAAAAGAACCUGAAACCGUGUACGUACAAGCAGUGGGAGCCCCACCACUAAGCCAGUGGUGAACUCCACAUACGCAUCCUUUGCUGAGGAUACGGUUAACGGAGCGAAAGCGACGUUCAACCUCAAAAGAAGCAGAGGGGGCUUAGUGGUGGGGUGACUGCGUACCUUUUGUAUAAUGGGUCAGCGACUUAUAUUCUGUAGCAAGGUUAACCGAAUAGGGGAGCCGGAGGGAAACCGAGUCUUAACCGGGCGUUAAGUUGCAGGGUAUAGACCCGAAACCCGGUGAUCUAGCCAUGGGCAGGUUGAAGGUUGGGUAACACUAACUGGAGGACCGAACCGACUAAUGUUGAAAAAUUAGCGGAUGACCUGUGGCUGGGGGUGAAAGGCCAAUCAAACCGGGAGAUAGCUGGUUCUCCCCGAAAGCUAUUUAGGUAGCGCCUCGUGAAUUCAUCUCCGGGGGUAGAGCACUGUUUCGGCUAGGGGGCCAUCCCGGCUUACCAACCCGAUGCAAACUGCGAAUACCGGAGAAUGUUAUCACGGGAGACACACGGCGGGUGCUAACGUCCGUCGUGAAGAGGGAAACAACCCAGACCGCCAGCUAAGGUCCCAAAGUCAUGGUUAAGUGGGAAACGAUGUGGGAAGGCCCAGACAGCCAGGAUGUUGGCUUAGAAGCAGCCAUCAUUUAAAGAAAGCGUAAUAGCUCACUGGUCGAGUCGGCCUGCGCGGAAGAUGUAACGGGGCUAAACCAUGCACCGAAGCUGCGGCAGCGACGCUUAUGCGUUGUUGGGUAGGGGAGCGUUCUGUAAGCCUGUGAAGGUGGCCUGUGAGGGUUGCUGGAGGUAUCAGAAGUGCGAAUGCUGACAUAAGUAACGAUAAAGCGGGUGAAAAGCCCGCUCGCCGGAAGACCAAGGGUUCCUGUCCAACGUUAAUCGGGGCAGGGGUGAGUCGACCCCUAAGGCGAGGCCGAAAGGCGUAGUCGAUGGGAAACGGGUUAAUAUUCCCGUACUUGGUGUUACUGCGAAGGGGGGACGGAGAAGGCUAUGUUGGCCGGGCGACGGUUGUCCCGGUUUAAGCGUGUAGGUGUGUGUUCCAGGUAAAUCCGGUUCACUUUAACACUGAGGCGUGACGACGAGGCACUACGGUGCUGAAGCAACAAAUGCCCUGCUUCCAGGAAAAGCCUCUAAGCAUCAGGUAACAUCAAAUCGUACCCCAAACCGACACAGGUGGUCAGGUAGAGAAUACCAAGGCGCUUGAGAGAACUCGGGUGAAGGAACUAGGCAAAAUGGUGCCGUAACUUCGGGAGAAGGCACGCUGACACGUAGGUGAAGUGAUUUACUCACGGAGCUGAAGUCAGUCGAAGAUACCAGCUGGCUGCAACUGUUUAUUAAAAACACAGCACUGUGCAAACACGAAAGUGGACGUAUACGGUGUGACGCCUGCCCGGUGCCGGAAGGUUAAUUGAUGGGGUCAGCGCAAGCGAAGCUCCUGAUCGAAGCCCCGGUAAACGGCGGCCGUAACUAUAACGGUCCUAAGGUAGCGAAAUUCCUUGUCGGGUAAGUUCCGACCUGCACGAAUGGCGUAAUGAUGGCCAGGCUGUCUCCACCCGAGACUCAGUGAAAUUGAACUCGCUGUGAAGAUGCAGUGUACCCGCGGCAAGACGGAAAGACCCCGUGAACCUUUACUAUAGCUUGACACUGAACAUUGAGCCUUGAUGUGUAGGAUAGGUGGGAGGCUUUGAAGUGUGGACGCCAGUCUGCAUGGAGCCGACCUUGAAAUACCACCCUUUAAUGUUUGAUGUUCUAACGUGGACCCGUAAUCCGGGUUGCGGACAGUGUCUGGUGGGUAGUUUGACUGGGGCGGUCUCCUCCUAAAGAGUAACGGAGGAGCACGAAGGUUGGCUAAUCCUGGUCGGACAUCAGGAGGUUAGUGCAAUGGCAUAAGCCAGCUUGACUGCGAGCGUGACGGCGCGAGCAGGUGCGAAAGCAGGUCAUAGUGAUCCGGUGGUUCUGAAUGGAAGGGCCAUCGCUCAACGGAUAAAAGGUACUCCGGGGAUAACAGGCUGAUACCGCCCAAGAGUUCAUAUCGACGGCGGUGUUUGGCACCUCGAUGUCGGCUCAUCACAUCCUGGGGCUGAAGUAGGUCCCAAGGGUAUGGCUGUUCGCCAUUUAAAGUGGUACGCGAGCUGGGUUUAGAACGUCGUGAGACAGUUCGGUCCCUAUCUGCCGUGGGCGCUGGAGAACUGAGGGGGGCUGCUCCUAGUACGAGAGGACCGGAGUGGACGCAUCACUGGUGUUCGGGUUGUCAUGCCAAUGGCACUGCCCGGUAGCUAAAUGCGGAAGAGAUAAGUGCUGAAAGCAUCUAAGCACGAAACUUGCCCCGAGAUGAGUUCUCCCUGAGACUUUAGGUCUCCUGAAGGAACGUUGAAGACGACGACGUUGAUAGGCCGGGUGUGUAAGCGCAGCGAUGCGUUGAGCUAACCGGUACUAAUGAACCGUGAGGCUUAACCUU
Molecule: ribosomal RNA, 3008 nt
Filed under: Salmonella enterica subsp. enterica
Lineage: Bacteria; Pseudomonadati; Pseudomonadota; Gammaproteobacteria; Enterobacterales; Enterobacteriaceae
Description: 23S ribosomal RNA
Rfam family: Bacterial large subunit ribosomal RNA
Source: RNAcentral